This 521-nucleotide ribosomal RNA is filed under the name uncultured bacterium. RNAcentral's name for it is "bacterial SSU rRNA". It matches the Rfam family "Bacterial small subunit ribosomal RNA", at positions 777 to 1297 of the family's 1533-position model. The record is from RNAcentral.
AAUAGAUACCCUGGUAGUCCACGCCGUAAACGGUGGGCAUUAGAUGUGGGGCUCUUUCCAUGAGUUCCGCGUCGCAGCUAACGCAUUAAGUGCCCCGCCUGGGGAGUACGGCCGCAAGGCUAAAACUCAAAGGAAUUGACGGGGGCCCGCACAAGCGGCGGAGCAUGCGGAUUAAUUCGAUGCAACGCGAAGAACCUUACCAAGGCUUGACAUAUACGGUCUAUCCCUAGAGAUAGGGAGUGCUUCGGCGCCGUAUACAGGUGGUGCAUGGUUGUCGUCAGCUCGUGUCGUGAGAUGUUGGGUUAAGUCCCGCAACGAGCGCAACCCUCGUUCUAUGUUGCCAGCACGUAAUGGUGGGGUACUCAUAGGAGACUGCCGGGGUUCAACUCGGAGGAAGGUGGGGAUGACGUCAAAUCGUCAUGCCCCGUUAUGUCUUGGGCUUCACGCAUGCUACAAUGGCCGGUACAAAGGGCUGCAAUCCGUAAGGUGGAGCGAAUCCCAAAAGCCGGUCUCAGUUCGGA